This is a long non-coding RNA of Lingula anatina, 2303 nucleotides long. RefSeq lists it as uncharacterized. The record is from RefSeq and is a predicted model, not a curated record. NCBI's taxonomy places the organism in Eukaryota, Metazoa, Brachiopoda, Lingulata, Lingulida, Lingulidae.
AUAGGACCAAGGUCAGCAGAAGAUGUAGGAGAAAUAAGUCUCAUAGAAUGUUGCUACAAAUUCCACAUCUCGGCCAAAUAUUUUGCACUGAAAACAGCGGCAAUAUGUUAGGGACGCUUAUGCCAAAAAAAGAAGCAAAAGUAGAGGUUUCCAGAAGUCCAAUGUUCCAAACAAGUCUUCCAACUUAAUGAGACGACAAGGCAGGGACUUUUUCCAACCAUUUGCGAGCAGAUGAAUACAUCGUCCAUCAUUUGACGGCGACUGCGUCUCGCAUGCCGAAGUUUGUCCUCUAGUCAAUUUGCAGGGUUGACAUUUAAUGUGAAAUGUAAUGUUUGGUUUGGGUAAAAUAAUAUGCUGCAUCAAAACGUGUGCCAAAUGAAAAUUUGCAGAUUACGAGCAUUUUAUCCAUGGAACAUCUAAUCAGAAAAAAAUAAUAAAUGAAUAAAAUUGUCACUAAUGGUCAACCCUGCAUGUCAUCGUAUUAAUGUUCACGUUAGUCUCUCUGCCCUCAGUAGCGUUUUCAUUGUUAUUUGUGUAUGCGUUUGAACCGAGUAGGGUGUCCAGUUCUCUAACUUAAAUGGGAUCAAAACUUGGUACUCUCCUUUAGCAAAAAUAAAGUCUGCGAAAAAGGUCCCUUGUUUAGUAAUGUGUAGAAACGAAAAUGAUGAAGUGAAUCUCGUAAAGUGGUCGCUAUAUGAUGUUUGGGUACGACUAGAUUUCUAUUUGACAAAGUGUGGCGUGUAGGCAAUGCUGCUAUUAGGCAAUAUGGAGUGGUAUCACUCUUCAUUUUGAUGAAGUUAACUUUUGGGUGAAAAAACGUUGGGUGAAACAUUACGUAAAAUGCAUCUGUAUAGAAAAAUAUUCACGAUGUAGUUAUAUAGAAACAAUACUUAUAUCUACAAUAAAUUGAUAACAACACAAUCAAAAUUAUAACACUUCACAAAUUAAACUAUUAUAAAACUGACAGAAUGUAGUAUUGCCCACACGCAUUGAAAAGACAUGUAGUGUUACUUCACAAGAAUAAACUUCCUCUGGUUCUCGGUGUACUGAUAUUGUCCGAUCAGUGACGGACCCAUAUUUUCAAUGCUGGGAGGGGGUGAAAAACUUUUUUUUAGAAAAUAAAACCAGGUGAAGUAUAACGAUUCCCCCUAAAUUAAAUGCAUUUUUUUACUGUAGGAUGUUGCUUACAUGAUAAAAAAAGUAAAUAUCGUAAGUAGACAUUCUAUCCAAAGUACAUUCUUCGAUAGGGUUGAAAUUUUCGUGACAAAAUUUUGACCAAAUUGACCUAUUGAAGGUUGGUCGUGCAUCUAGUAUUAACAUAUGUCAGUACUGAACAUCAUGUUGGUGAAGUUAUUAUUGUCUCCUGAUCAUUGAACACCAGAGACCAGAGUUGAGUUUAUCGUCAUUUGUCGAAUCAAUUGUUUUGUGUAGAUAGAUUUUGCGUAAUCUUUCUAGUUUUGAUUGCACAUUAUUUUUUACAAUGAAUAUGGCGGGAUACACAUGUUAACGGACUGUGUCGUCAUGCCGUUUUUGAUUCGCACACUGUGGAAAGUAGUGUUCACUUAAAAUUGUGUCCAGAUUUAAGUUUUAGAUUUAAUGUGAAGAAAACAAGUUGAUGCAGGCCAAAAGCUGCACAUUUCGAUAAGCAAAACGACCAUAGAUCUUACAAAAAUGGCUUCUUUUUGGGCUGUCCUUUUGUUUUGUGUGCGAUCAUCAGCACGACGACACAAUACGAGGUGCAUGUAUAGGCCUACAUUUGAGUGUCAUAUGCAUUUUGAAUGGUCGAUAUCAUUCACACCACUGAAUUUGGACAGAAAUGUUAAUGGAUGAAAUCAGCGAUAAUACUCAUGUCAACUUUAAAGUUGUAAAAUAUAAAAUCACCAGGCCCGUAGCCAGCACUUACAAAAGAGGAGUUAUUUUUCUGGGUCAUUUACAAUGAAACCUUUGUGUACCUUAAUCGAAUUAUACCCAGAAUGGAUCUUUUCUGACAAAAAGGGCGGUUCUUUCUAACCCCCGAACCCCAACAACCACCCUGGCUACGGGUCUGAUUGUUAAUUUAUCAAUUUGCUUAUUGAUUCUAGACUAGACAUAUGAAUUUUAUGUUCUUACGACGGCCAUGGUAUUCCUGAACUAAAGAAAUCAUUGGUAAUUCAAGCAACAAUUUUCAAAAUGUAUAGAAUUUACAUGUUUUAGUUGGAUUUUUUAACUCGAUUUAUAUUUUGAAAUGUAAUGUUGUUAGAAAUAUUGACGAUGUAAUUUUCUUUUUUCUUUUUGUGAACAUCUAUGAUAUAAUUGCUUGAAUU